Molecule: ribosomal RNA, 76 nt
Filed under: Lyophyllum decastes
Lineage: Eukaryota; Fungi; Basidiomycota; Agaricomycetes; Agaricales; Lyophyllaceae
Description: partial 28S ribosomal RNA
Source: RNAcentral
CGUCCUCCAAGGACAACUUCUUUACUUUUUGACCUCAAAUCAGAUAAGACUACCCGCUGAACUUAAGCAUAUCAAA